AUGAACGCUAGCGACAGGCUUAACACAUGCAAGUCGAGGGGCAGCACGCUUUCGGGUGGUGGCGACCGGCGCACGGGUGAGUAACACGUAUGCAACCUACCCAUAACUUGGGGAUAGCCCGCGGAAACGCGGAUUAAUACCUAAUGACACAGGGGCACCGCAUGGUGCUAUUUGUUAAAGAUUUAUCGGUUAUGGAUGGGCAUGCGCGGGAUUAGUUAGUUGGUAGGGUAACGGCUUACCAAGGCAUCGAUCCUUAGGGGAACUGAGAGGUUUAUCCCCCACAUUGGUACUGAGACACGGACCAGACUCCUACGGGAGGCAGCAGUGAGGAAUAUUGGUCAAUGGGCGAGAGCCUGAACCAGCCAAGUCGCGUGAAGGAAGACGGUAUUAUGUAUUGUAAACCUCUUUUAUAGGGGAAUAAAGUGCGGGAUGUAUCCUGUUUUGUAUGUACCCUAUGAAUAAGCAUCGGCUAACUCCGUGCCAGCAGCCGCGGUAAUACGGAGGAUGCGAGCGUUAUCCGGAUUUAUUGGGUUUAAAGGGUGCGUAGGUGGGCUUGUAAGUCAGUGGUGAAAUCCCGAUGCUUAACAUCGGCACUGCCAUUGAAACUGCGGGUCUUGAGUGUGAGCGGGGUAGGCGGAAUUCGUAGUGUAGCGGUGAAAUGCAUAGAUUUACGAAGAACACCGAUAGCGUAGGCAGCUUACCAGGACACAACUGACACUGAG
This 722-nucleotide ribosomal RNA is filed under the name uncultured bacterium. RNAcentral's name for it is "bacterial SSU rRNA". It matches the Rfam family "Bacterial small subunit ribosomal RNA", at positions 29 to 750 of the family's 1533-position model. The record is from RNAcentral.